CUCUCUGGUACUCUCACAACAUAUCGACGGUGUAACAGUGAGACGUGAGAAAUAGAGCGAAUCAAUGAACGUUAGCACGUCUCACUUGGGGCUUCUAUAAAUAACGGAAUCUAACUACCAUUUCUAAACAUUCCGGCCCCCUUGAAACCACCGGAUUUCAAAACUAAAUUCUUUUUCAAGCAAAUUUGAAUAAUAAAUUUACAAUUCAAUUUCUUACGCGCUUAUUCUAACAUUAUACAAUAUUCAUUGCGGCAAUUUUCCGUCAAAAAAUUCUACAUCUUUUAAGGGUGAUGAACCCAUUUCACUUUUUUUUACAAGACAGUUCAUUUUUUUUUUACGGUAUAUAAUGCAAAAAUUCAUAUUUGAGUUAUAAUUUCAAACAUCAUGUAAGAAUGAUGAAUCCAUUUGCCCCCCUUGUAAGCAACGCCCAUGGAGAAAUUUUUCUCUCUUUCAAUAUUCUCAACCUCAACCUUCUGUGGUUUGUUUUGGUUCGGUUAUUCGACUCGUGGUGCACAUUUCAACGGCAGCGAAUUCCGACGAUUCUCGUUGAUAUCCGGAGAUGGAAGUUGCAGAUUCCCAAAAGUUUGCUCGGUUCGAAGCCAUGCGACUCGUAGGAGCCGAUGUGACCAAGCUGCAACUGCGACAGCUUGCUCGCUCCAAACUGCUGGAAUUAGUAUUUCUUCGUUGGAUUUGCGUUUCGAACUUGGAUUAUGGACUUGGUCGAACCAGACAGCAAAACCAACCAAGCAAUUCCUUCCGAAUGCUGAUGUUCUACAGUUGACCCAGCCAGUGCUCUACACUGCGUUCCUCACUGCAAACAACUGGAUUGGAAUAUUGCAGCGAACCAAUCCAACAAGAUGACAAAAUCGGAAACACACUCCCGAACCCAAUGUGCUAAUGCCUUCGGUUCAACUUUCUUGGAUUUCGUGCGCUGCGCUCAGGUGAUGAUGCAAGCUGUAUUUGCAGAGAGCAUCCGAAUAGCAAUUCUUCAAUCGACGCUCGUCAGAUGUUUGGUCAACAACACCGUCACACGGUGCUACGUUGAUCUGGAGAUCUUCGAAAUGGAACUUGGAUGAUAAGGCCAAGUUGUGUUGUUUCAUCAAUGGACCUCCGGAAACUGGUAGCUGAAUCGGACUCGGUGACUUUUCGCUCAUAACCGGAAAUAAUGGAAUAAUAUAUUUAUGAAAAAACGUUGCAAAAGGUCGAUUUAAAAACAUCACAGCCACCAUUCCAGUACUUCAAACUGUUUUUUUUUUCAUGCAAACUAUGACCACCUUCUUGAACGAGGAGUGAUUGAUGGAAUGAAUAUUUUUUCAUUUGUACACCAAUGUGCAGACUCGCAAUUGUCCAUUUCAAUUAUCCAUAUCAAACCAAUUUGACGAUACUUCUCUCGCCAAUAUUUUACUGAAAAUUAUCAGCUAUUUCGUACAUAUUCAACACAUUUUAUCUGACAGAAAUGGAACUUGUAAAGCCCUCAACGGCAAUUUCCGACAUGUUUCUGACUCAGACGACUUGUUUUGAGAAAUGCGAAUCAUUAGAUAUCACCAAAUUACACCUUCUGUGGUGUCUACGGAUCAUCUUGCCGACACAAUAGAAUGACGAGCUGAGCGUCAAAUCUGAAGCGAAGAACCAAUGCGACAUUACGGACCAAACUUGUAAACGAUGACUUCAGACGAAAUAUUUCAUUCAUAGGUUCACAUUUGAUUGACAUUUCAAACAAUUUUUAAACGGGUCUAGGAACUGGAACAAUCAAUCAAGCUGCCUCAGAACAAUUAUCUUCGUGUUUUAACCUCCGAUGAGGUGUAUUCAGACAAAAAUAAGCUGACCUUGUAUCCACUUCAAACCAAGGGUUUUCAUGGUUGUAAUUAACAAAUCGAACUCUAAAACUGACUCUUAAUUUUCCAAAUUUUCAAGAAUGUUUAUCAAUACUUCUUGUGCGUUUGAC
Uranotaenia lowii is the source of this 1945-nucleotide long non-coding RNA. RefSeq lists it as uncharacterized. The record is from RefSeq and is a predicted model, not a curated record. The transcript is spliced from 4 exons. Lineage: Eukaryota; Metazoa; Arthropoda; Insecta; Diptera; Culicidae.